Molecule: unclassified non-coding RNA, 258 nt
Filed under: Fusicolla aquaeductuum
Lineage: Eukaryota; Fungi; Ascomycota; Sordariomycetes; Hypocreales; Nectriaceae
Description: sequence contains 18S rRNA gene, ITS1, 5.8S rRNA gene, ITS2, 28S rRNA gene
Source: RNAcentral
CCCUGUGACAUACCUAUCGUUGCUUCGGCGGAUCCGCCCCGGCGCCCUCGGGCCCGGAUCAGGCGCCCGCCGGAGACCCCAAACUCUUGUAUUUCUUUAGUAUCUUCUGAGUAAACAAGCAAAUAAAUUAAAACUUUCAACAACGGAUCUCUUGGUUCUGGCAUCGAUGAAGAACGCAGCAACCUCAUUACUACUUCCUCUCCAACCCUGUGCACCCCCCUGUUGCCUCCCUGACCUCCCCCCCUCCUUCCGGUCUGC